This is a long non-coding RNA of Oreochromis aureus, 2335 nucleotides long. NCBI's taxonomy places the organism in Eukaryota, Metazoa, Chordata, Actinopteri, Cichliformes, Cichlidae. The record is from Ensembl.
UUCAGGAAAAAAAAGCCUUUCAAGGAGAUUUUUGUGUAAAUAUGAUUCAGAUUUUGUAAUUAUUAGGUAUGUAAGUCAUGUGGUCCUGUUAAACUACAACCUCCAAAAUACUUUUCUUUUGUGAAUGCAAAAUGUCAAACAUAUAAUUUGGAAGAAGAAAAUGUUUAUGCAGAGCUGAAAGGAUUUAUUUUGAAUAUCUAGCUGCUCCCAGUGUCUGAGUUUUGUGUUUUUUUUUAACGGCAGUAAAAUGAAUAUUUUGGAGUUUUAGAUUGUUGAUUCAGACAUUUGAAGACUUGGACUCUGAGAAACUUACAUUUUUUGACUUUUAUUGACCAGAAGAUUUAUACGAUAUAAAAAGUAUUAAUGGAAAUAAUCGUCCAAUAAAAGGACUCUUACGAUGAUGUUUUUUGGAUGUAUAAAGUUUGGAUGUUUUUAAGGACAGAGUCUCUAACAGGAACUGGACCGGACUGCGGACCUUCACGUCUCUCUAGGUCUGACCCACUCGGUCUUUCGUUUCCUGAAAUGAAUCCAGCGAUUAGAUGGAGCCGAUCUGAACAGAAAUCAAAAGAAAAACUAAAGACUUUUGUUGUUUUUCUUUUUUUGACUUGCAGUGGUUCAGUAUUUCUCUCUCUGUCUCUAUAAACACAUUUUGGACAAAGUGUUUUGAUAGUGAAAAAAAAAGCAGAUAUUAUGAAUAUUAUUAUUGUUACACUACGAUGAACUGAAAAGACUUGUUGUUGGAUAUUUCUGUGUUUAUGAGUCUGGAUUGUGUUGAUGUUUGCUUGAUGCAAGUUGAUGCAAGAAGAAAACAAAGCAAAGAUUUUGUAAAUAUAUAAUUUAUUCUCCCGUGACCCUGUCAGGUCAUGUGACUGUGUAAAGGUUAAAAGGUUAACGCUUGCUGUUCCUCUGCACAGCCAGAGCCACGCAGACGGUUCGAGGACUGACGGGGUGAAGGUUAAAGGAACAACCUGACGUUUCAGUGACGUCUGUAGCUGUGAGAUCGAACACUGGAAGCAGGGGGAACCUGUUAGCAUAGAAAGGAAAAGAAAAUACUGCCCGGCCAAAAAGAAACGUCACACACUUUUAUGGUUUUUUGGACCGCCUUUUUGCAUUGGCACAACAAAUUUAUUUCCAUCCAGAGUUGUAGUCAUUUAUUGACACCAAGGUCUUUGAUGAUUGAAGAUUCGAAUCCCUGUCUUAAAGAGUCUCAAAGGGGUUAUGGUCUGGACUCUGUGGUGGCCAAUCUGAUUUGAACCUGAUGCAUCCUGGCAAAUCCAAUCAUUCAUGUGGUCAGCUGACCCGUUCUAGGUCACAUGACAUUGCUGAACCAUGACCUGACCAACUGAAGAAACCCCAGAUCAUAGUCGUCAUAACCUUUGUCCAGUGGUCCAGAGUCUGAUCUUUAUAACAAAUCAAAGCCCUUCUUUUCAAUUAGCUUCACCAAUAAUUGCUUUUCUUAAGGAGACACAGAUGUUUUGUCCCAAUCCCUGCGUGAGGAAAUUGAUUUUUUUACAAGUUCACCAAACGUUGAAAUGACAGCCGAUCACACUCAUUCAAGACGUUUAUCAGACCACAUAUCUUCUUUGAAGAUGAUGGUUCAACACUUUCUGGAUAAUUCUUAAACCAGUUCUAUGAUUUUCAGUAAUCUGUUUUGCUUGAAGCGAUAAUUUGACCUUCUAGUAAGAAAGCAACAUGUUUUCCAUGACCCAGGAUACGUCUUCUGACAGUUUUUAAAAAAUAAGAAGCUACUCAUAUUAAUCACUGCACUAAUUAUCCAGUGGAUAGCUCUUGCCUAUUUGCUUAUUGAACUCUAGAUAGUGACUUUUUUUUGGUUUGGCAGUGGAUAAACUGUUAUAAAAUAGCUGGUAGAGAGGAGUGUAAUAUGUCGAUGUGGUGGUUAUCUUUGAACGGAGUUUAAAAGGCGGCGCUUUUCCAGGACAGCUUUCUAAAGUUUUCUGUCAGAGUUGAUCAAAAUUCUGCUCAAGAUGGUGGAAGUUGUAAAAUUAGACAGGAAGAAAUUCAAGUGAAGAAAGUUAAAAGAAGUUGAAGAGUAAUUGCAACAGGCUGCAUGCUACUGCUUUGCCUCGUUAACAGACUGUUAAUCAGUUAUUGGUGGUCGCUGAUAAAGCUAAAAUACCAAAGAUGUGCUUGUUCCUGCUCCUUUCUUUCCUUUUCUGCUGGACCGUCACAGUUUAAAGGCCAAGCUACUCAUCAAAACUCAGUCAAAAUCAUGAAACUUGUGUUAGUUAUCAAGGUUAUCGGUUAGUGGCCGGCCACUGCCUUCCAUACUGUCGAUGUCUGUUUCCCAUCAUGCCCCCUCUGUAAGAAGAUAAAA